GGGCUCUCGGGUGAAAUUUGUUAGCUGUGAUCUUAGAGUGAUGAAGGGUGUCCCAUUGGUGCAACGUGAGGACUGAGGUGUGGAACAGGUGGGGUGUGCGUGGUCGGAAAUGCGGGGGCGUCCAUAGAAUAGGUAUCAGGGAACCACCAGGUGCGGUGGCGUGCUCCAUAUCUACCCAUUGGAAGGUUCCUUUUGCGGCGUGGAGUUUAAUUGCC
Pelobates cultripes (western spadefoot toad) is the source of this 215-nucleotide non-coding RNA. The record is from the annotation of a GenBank genome assembly. NCBI's taxonomy places the organism in Eukaryota, Metazoa, Chordata, Amphibia, Anura, Pelobatidae.